GACGCUGGCGGCGUGCCUAAUACAUGCAAGUCGAACGGUCUUUUCUAUGGAAGCUUGCUUCCACUGAGAAGAUAGUGGCGAACGGGUGAGUAACACGUGGGUAACCUGCCCAUAAGAGGGGGAUAACAUCCGGAAACGGGUGCUAAUACCGCAUAGUUUUCUUGAUCGCAUGAUCGGGAAAGGAAAGACGGCCUUUGUGCUGUCGCUUAUGGAUGGACCCGCGGCGUAUUAGUUAGUUGGUGAGGUAACGGCUCACCAAGACGAUGAUACGUAGCCGACCUGAGAGGGUGAUCGGCCACAUUGGGACUGAGACACGGCCCAAACUCCUACGGGAGGCAGCAGUAGGGAAUCUUCCGCAAUGGACGAAAGUCUGACGGAGCAACGCCGCGUGAGUGAAGAAGGUUUUUCCGGAUCGUAAAACUCUGUUGUCAGAGAAGAACAAGUUGGAGAGUAACUGCUCCAGCCUUGACGGUAUCUGACCAGAAAGCCACGGCUAACUACGUGCCAGCAGCUGC
RNAcentral lists this ribosomal RNA (515 nucleotides) under uncultured bacterium. Its description in RNAcentral is "bacterial SSU rRNA". It matches the Rfam family "Bacterial small subunit ribosomal RNA", at positions 32 to 518 of the family's 1533-position model. The record is from RNAcentral.